This 880-nucleotide long non-coding RNA is filed under the name Gallus gallus (chicken). The record is from RNAcentral. Lineage: Eukaryota; Metazoa; Chordata; Aves; Galliformes; Phasianidae.
GGGAGAGGCACUGCUGAGCCUCUGCCCAGCCAGCCUUGCUACAGAGAGCGCUGGCUUGCUGUUUUCAGUUUGUCAUUUAUCCAUGAAGUCCAAGACAUUUCAAUUCAGGUGGAUCUUUAAGAUGAAGCUGCUGCUUCUCCAAUGUGCUGAAAAUGUUUUAAGUGCUUUGGAAAAACUAAAUAGAUGCUACUGUACAAAAAAAAAGAGGUACUUAAAAGAAUAUAAAACUUAUAAAAUACACAGGAUACUUUUGAGUUUCCUGUUUUAAAAUGAACCCAGGAGGACGCUAAGAUUACAGAACAGAUUCUAAUCUGUAGCAUUUUGCCACCCCUAGAUGGCGUGAACUAAAAGCCUAAACAGCUUUUAAUGUUAUUAUUGCUACUGACAGGAGGACUUCUCAAUUAAGUUCUGUUACAGGAAAUUCUAACCUAUUUUCUACUGCCACCGUGAGACUUUCCUGUUAGGUACGUGCAGCUCCUGAAGCAUUUGUCUGCUUUUGGCUUCCAGAAACAUGAGCCUUUCAUCUAUUACAGGCCUGGAAGGGCUCUCUCUUACUUAAGGUCAAAAAUGUCCUUGAAAAAAUAUUUUGAAUGACAUCCAAUUGUUACCUUGUGGUUCUAUGCAACAGUCUGGCUUGAGAUCGAUGGUGAAGUGCACACAGGGCACCAGGAAAACCUCAUUCUGCAACAAAUACACCUUGGGAGAGAUCAUCACGUAUCCUGCCUUUUAGCUACAGGAGAAAAGCAGUUUUAUUGAUGGUACAUUACUCUGAAUUUCAGUGGCGUCACCUGCACUGGAGCUGUACUUGGACUCCCACUGCCACUUUUGGUGAGGGAAUUUCUGCCACCUCCUCCAGCCCCCUGUGAAGACCCCACACACC